GAUAGAAUAGUGUUUUAGGAGCACAUGUAAUUGUCGUUUACAAAGGUAUCUAUCUA
RNAcentral lists this transfer RNA (56 nucleotides) under Xiphinema americanum. Its description in RNAcentral is "tRNA-Asp". The record is from RNAcentral. Lineage: Eukaryota; Metazoa; Nematoda; Enoplea; Dorylaimida; Longidoridae.